This 264-nucleotide unclassified non-coding RNA is filed under the name Hevea brasiliensis (rubber tree). Lineage: Eukaryota; Viridiplantae; Streptophyta; Magnoliopsida; Malpighiales; Euphorbiaceae. The record is from RNAcentral.
UACUCAGCUUUCCCUUCCCACUCUUUAAAAUCAAAUGUAUGCUCCCGAGAAAGAAAAUAAUAAUCCCAUGUAACGUGGUAUGGAGUUACAAAGACAUAAAGAUCCAUACAUGUCCAGCUAUGAGCCUUGCUAACCUUGAUAUGAAGUGUUCCACCACCAAAUUCACUGCCAGUCUUAUUGUGGAACUGUGGACCUCCAUCCAAGCCUCGUUCUCGUAGAAACAGGCACCCUUCCACUCGACGGUUCCAUUUGGAGACGAGGCAG